GGGGUUGUGGCCCAGCGGUAGAGCACUCACCUAGCAUGUGCGAGGCCCUGGGUUCAAUCCUCAGCAACAUAU
RNAcentral lists this transfer RNA (72 nucleotides) under Marmota monax (woodchuck). Its description in RNAcentral is "tRNA.Ala". It matches the Rfam family "tRNA". From Rfam's summary of the family: Transfer RNA (tRNA) molecules are approximately 80 nucleotides in length. Their secondary structure includes four short double-helical elements and three loops (D, anti-codon, and T loops). Lineage: Eukaryota; Metazoa; Chordata; Mammalia; Rodentia; Sciuridae. The record is from RNAcentral.